Molecule: non-coding RNA, 172 nt
Filed under: Arachidicoccus rhizosphaerae
Lineage: Bacteria; Pseudomonadati; Bacteroidota; Chitinophagia; Chitinophagales; Chitinophagaceae
Source: RNAcentral
UCCAUCGUGAGGUGGAAUCUGAAGGAAGCUUACGGCAAAAUUCUGCUCCGAGGAACACGAAUCAUAUCAGGCACAAACACUGUGGGUAAGGUUGCUAAUCAAACUGAAGCCCCAAGAUUACACAGACAGUGUAGUGUAAAUAUGGCGGAGACAUGGAAGGAAAGUAAACAUC